Molecule: ribosomal RNA, 580 nt
Filed under: uncultured archaeon
Lineage: Archaea
Description: bacterial SSU rRNA
Rfam family: Archaeal small subunit ribosomal RNA
Source: RNAcentral
AGAGCAAGGGCCCGGAGAUGGAACCUGAGACAAGGUUCCAGACCCUACGGGGUGCAGCAGGCGCGAAACCUCCGCAAUGUACGAAAGUGCGACGGGGGGAUCCCAAGUGUUAUGCUUUUUUGUAUGACUUUUCAUUAGUGUAAAAAGCUUUUAGAAUAAGAGCUGGGCAAGACCGGUGCCAGCCGCCGCGGUAACACCGGCAGCUCGAGUGGUAGCUGUUUUUAUUGGGCCUAAAGCGUUCGUAGCCGGUUUGAUAAGUCUUUGGUGAAAGCUUGUAGCUUAACUAUAAGAAUUGCUGGAGAUACUGUCAGACUUGAAGUCGGGAGAGGUUAGAGGUACUACCGGGGUAGGGGUGAAAUCCUAUAAUCCUGGGAGGACCACCUGUGGCGAAGGCGUCUAACUGGAACGAUCUUGACGGUGAGUAACGAAAGCCAGGGGCGCGAACCGGAUUAGAUACCCGGGUAGUCCUGGCCGUAAACGAUGUGGACUUGGUGUUGGAAUGGCUUUGAGUUGUUCCGGUGCCGAAGGGAAGCUGUUAAGUCCACCGCCUGGGAAGUACGGUCGCAAGACUGAAACUUAA